AUGAAACAACUUGGCAACCUAUGCAUUCUGAAGAUUGCAGUGGAUGGACUGUCAGUAAAUGAUGUUCGUAUUCUUAGAGGGUUGCGUUGCCUCACUGCUCUGUCGUUGUGUGUGGAGAAGUCGCCUGAUAUUAAGAUAAUCUUUGGCACGGCUGCUGGAUUCACAACUCUCAAGUACUUGAAGCUGAGGUUCCUGAGUGAAAUAGCUUGGCUAAGAUUUGAGAUGGACGCAAUGCCUAAUCUCCGGAAGCUCAGGCUUGUUUUUGACGCCAUCCCCCAAAUGGACCAACGACUUGAACUUUUUUCGGAGUCUGAGCAGUGGAAACAAUAUCGACAUGGUACUGCAUUAAUCAGCAUCGAGCAUAUAACAGGCCUUACAGAGGUCUCCGCAAAAUUUGUGGGUGCAGCUGCUGAUCUAGAGUAUGUAUCGAGGAUCGGUGUAGUUAGCAAUCAUCCGGGCAAUAGUUAUUCACUUCAUGCUAAAUGA
RNAcentral lists this ribosomal RNA (486 nucleotides) under Triticum aestivum (bread wheat). Its description in RNAcentral is "partial small subunit ribosomal RNA". The record is from RNAcentral. Lineage: Eukaryota; Viridiplantae; Streptophyta; Magnoliopsida; Poales; Poaceae.